GUGAGGAAUUUUCCGCAAUGGGCGAAAGCCUGACGGAGCAAUGCCGCGUGAAGGAUGAAGGCCUAUGGGUUGUAAACUUCUUUUCUCAGAAAAGAAUUAUGACGGUAUCUGCGGAAUAAGCAUCGGCUAACUCUGUGCCAGCAGCCGCGGUAAGACAGAGGAUGCAAGCGUUAUCCGGAAUGAUUUGGCGUAAAGCGUCUGUAGGUUGUUUAAAAAGUAUUCUGUCAAAGAUUAGGGCUUAACCCUAGAUAGGCAGAAUAAACUUUUAAGCUAGAGGUUGGUAGAGGCAGAGGGAAUUCCCGGUGGAGCGGUGAAAUGCGUAGAUAUCGGGAGGAACACCAAAGGCGAAGGCACUCUGCUGGGCCAAUACUAACACUGAGAGACGAAAGCGAGGGGAGCAAAUGGGAUUAGAAACCCUUGUAGUCC
RNAcentral lists this ribosomal RNA (426 nucleotides) under uncultured bacterium. RNAcentral describes it as "partial 16S ribosomal RNA". It matches the Rfam family "Bacterial small subunit ribosomal RNA", at positions 354 to 796 of the family's 1533-position model. The record is from RNAcentral.